RNAcentral lists this ribosomal RNA (500 nucleotides) under uncultured bacterium. RNAcentral describes it as "bacterial SSU rRNA". It matches the Rfam family "Bacterial small subunit ribosomal RNA", at positions 83 to 617 of the family's 1533-position model. The record is from RNAcentral.
CUUCGGAUUCUAGUGGCGGACGGGUGAGUAACGCGUAAGAAUCUAACUUCAGGACGGGGACAACAGUUGGAAACGACUGCUAAUACCCGAUGUGCCGCAAGGUGAAAUCUAAUUGGCCUGGAGAAGAGCUUGCGUCUGAUUAGCUAGUUGGUGGGGUAAGAGCCUACCAAGGCGACGAUCAGUAGCUGGUCUGAGAGGAUGAGCAGCCACACUGGGACUGAGACACGGCCCAGACUCCUACGGGAGGCAGCAGUGGGGAAUUUUCCGCAAUGGGCGAAAGCCUGACGGAGCAACGCCGCGUGAGGGAGGAAGGUCUUUGGAUUGUAAACCUCUUUUCUCAAGGAAGAAGUUCUGACGGUACUUGAGGAAUCAGCCUCGGCUAACUCCGUGCCAGCAGCCGCGGUAAUACGGGGGAGGCAAGCGUUAUCCGGAAUUAUUGGGCGUAAAGCGUCCGCAGGUGGUCAGCCAAGUCUGCCGUCAAAUCAGGUUGCUUAACGACC